This 230-nucleotide ribosomal RNA is filed under the name uncultured bacterium. RNAcentral's name for it is "partial 16S ribosomal RNA". It matches the Rfam family "Bacterial small subunit ribosomal RNA", at positions 562 to 791 of the family's 1533-position model. The record is from RNAcentral.
AAAGGGUGCGUAGGCGGUUUAUUAAGUCAGUGGUGAAAGACGGUCGCUCAACGAUUGCAGUGCCAUUGAUACUGGUAGACUUGAGUGAGAUUGAGGUAGCUGGAAUGGAUAGUGUAGCGGUGAAAUGCAUAGAUAUUAUCCAGAACACCAAUUGCGUAGGCAAGUUACUAAGUCUCAACUGACGCUGAGGCACGAAAGUGUGGGUAUCAAACAGGAUUAGAUACCCGUGU